GACGAACGCUGGCGGCGUGCUUAACACAUGCAAGUCGAACGGAAAGGCCCUGCUUUUGUGGGGUGCUCGAGUGGCGAACGGGUGAGUAACACGUGAGUAACCUGCCCUUGACUUUGGGAUAACUUCAGGAAACUGGGGCUAAUACCGGAUAGGAGCUCCUGCUGCAUGGCGGGGGUUGGAAAGUUUCGGCGGUUGGGGAUGGACUCGCGGCUUAUCAGCUUGUUGGUGGGGUAGUGGCUUACCAAGGCUUUGACGGGUAGCCGGCCUGAGAGGGUGACCGGCCACAUUGGGACUGAGAUACGGCCCAGACUCCUACGGGAGGCAACAGUGGGGAAUAUUGCACAAUGGGCGGAAGCCUGAUGCAGCAACGCCGCGUGCGGGAUGACGGCCUUCGGGUUGUAAACCGCUUUCGCCUGUGACGAAGCGUGAGUGACGGUAAUGGGUAAAGAAGCACCGGCUAACUACGU
This 467-nucleotide ribosomal RNA is filed under the name uncultured bacterium. Its description in RNAcentral is "partial 16S ribosomal RNA". It matches the Rfam family "Bacterial small subunit ribosomal RNA", at positions 28 to 506 of the family's 1533-position model. The record is from RNAcentral.